RNAcentral lists this long non-coding RNA (940 nucleotides) under Vulpes vulpes (red fox). Its description in RNAcentral is "lncRNA (ENSVVUG00000019412.1)". Lineage: Eukaryota; Metazoa; Chordata; Mammalia; Carnivora; Canidae. The record is from RNAcentral.
CGUAUUUCCAGUGAAUCGUGUGAUGUGCAAGAGAAGGUUCUACUAUGAUAUACAUGGAAUCCAACAAAAGUGAGACUGGGUUAGGUUUUUUUUUUUUUUUUUCUUAACUCCAGGCUUUCUCAGGACCUUUAACAUGCUAAUUUGCAUUGUGACCCUCCAGAAUGAGACUUUAUGCAAUUUUCCAAAACAGAAUUGAUCAACAGACCCUUUUGUUGUAAGGGCAUCUCAGCAGACUACUGUCCCGAAGAGCAUCUUUCAGGAAACACUGAUUUGCCUGACAUCCAACGCCCAAGUUAGCCUUUCCUUUUUUUUUUUUUUUAAAUUUUAAAAACAUUUUAAGUAAUCUCUACCCCCAGUAUGGGGCUCAGACUCACGGCCCUGAGAUCCAGAGUCGCAUGCCCUGCUGGCUGACCGUAGCAGCCAGGCAUCCCACGACUUACUUAUCUUAAGAUACGGUGAUAGCUGGGUUCUGACACAGUGGCUGUGCAACAGCAGGAAAGUGCUGACGCUCUCUGUUCUCUUGCCUCCUUGUCUGUUAAGCCACAGUGUAACACAUGUUGUGACUGACUCACCACAAUGAAGGGUACCGUACACAGCCUUGAUUGAAAACUCCAACCAUGUUUUUGGUUUGUUUAUCUGCAGUCUAAGCACUUGCUAUGUGCCUGGCACUUUGAUGGUCCUAUGGAAGAUACAGUGACUUUUAAAUCAUGUUUCCUGACUUCAAGGAACUUGCAGUAUAAUGGAGGAGAAAAGAUUUACACCUAAGUUCCAAUAUGAGGCAGGAAGAGUGGAGUGCCACAAGAAAUACGGGCCUGCAGAAUGGGAAAAUUGUCCCAAAUAUUGGUAUCAUGAAAGUCUGCUGGAGAACACAAACUUUCCUGACUGUACCUACUGAUCUCAAGGUCCAGGUUGGCUGGAUUCACAUGACUUCAACACUCCC